RNAcentral lists this ribosomal RNA (305 nucleotides) under Bacillus sp. SR8.4. RNAcentral's name for it is "bacterial SSU rRNA". It matches the Rfam family "Bacterial small subunit ribosomal RNA", at positions 65 to 357 of the family's 1533-position model. The record is from RNAcentral. Lineage: Bacteria; Bacillati; Bacillota; Bacilli; Caryophanales; Bacillaceae.
AACUGAUUAGAAGCUUGCUUCUAUGACGUUAGCGGCGGACGGGUGAGUAACACGUGGGCAACCUGCCUGUAAGACUGGGAUAACUCCGGGAAACCGGAGCUAAUACCGGAUAACAUUUUCUCUUGCAUAAGAGAAAAUUGAAAGAUGGUUUCGGCUAUCACUUACAGAUGGGCCCGCGGUGCAUUAGCUAGUUGGUGAGGUAACGGCUCACCAAGGCAACGAUGCAUAGCCGACCUGAGAGGGUGAUCGGCCACACUGGGACUGAGACACGGCCCAGACUCCUACGGGAGGCAGCAGUGGUCUGC